AUAGCGGUCAGUAGGUUUCCGGUAUAGGGUGGUGUUUAUGUGGCCAUUGUUUAUUAGCACUGUAGUGUCCAGGAAGUGGAUCUCUUGUGUGGACUGGACCAGGCUGCACCAGAACUCUCACAAACGCAGCCAUAAUUAUUCUUAACAAAGAGGACCUCUUGCUGUACACUGGCAUAGGGCUGUGUUGGCCACCUCCCCAUCUGAUGCCAAGCUCUGUAAGGCGCUGACUGUCUUCGGUGUCUAUUCUUAGCUUGGCUCCUGUCUCCUCAGCUCUGGCAGAUUCCCAGCCAGUUCUCUCUCCUUCCUCUGGGAAGGAGCUGGACUUCCCUGCCCUUCUCCCAACUCUUGGUCGGCAGCUUCCUCUGCCACUGACAAGCCUCAGCUGCCUUUCAGUCCCAUUAAGUCAGUUUACCUUUCUCCCCAUGGUAAAGAGUUCCUGGCCAUUCCUUGGUCUGCCUCUGCUCCCAGCUGAUCUGGGUUAUCCCCUUCACUGGACCAGUCCCCCCUGCUUCUCAGCCAGCUCAGUAAAUGAUUUUUCUUGUGUCUCCAUGAGCGACAUGUAAUGCUGUCAAUCUUUUCCCACAGGGAAGACUAACUGAUUCACUCACUGCUCCCCUGCCCUGCCGUUUGAGGAGCAUCUGGCAUCCCUUGAUGCUUGUGUCAUAUGUUUGAUUGUGUUGUAUCUUUCCCCACACACCACACUUUCUUAAACAGCCUUUCAUCACACCAGUGUGAGUGGCAUUUCCCGUUUAUGUUGAAGAAUCCACGAAUGAAACACACGGCAGCUAGGAAAAAAUAAUAAAGUGGUGGGGGGGAGAGAAUAAAAACAUACUUUUUUAAUAAAAAAAUUUUAAUUAAAUACACGUGCAGCUUAAAAGGAGUUGACUAUAGCUGGUGUGAAAAAAAAAAUUAACCAAUUGGUGUGUUUUUUUUGUCACACUUUUGGAAGUUUGCUGACCCGCUCCAGUUCAGUCACGGUUUGCUAACCCAAGCAAAGCCAACAAACGGCCUACAUUUGAGAAGAUUAUUUUGAAGGCAACUGCCGUGUUUCCAUUUGUCCUAAAUCGGGGGCUCAAAGGGAUUAUUAUUGUUUUAGUUGUACAAUACAGUAGACCCUCAGAGUCCUGAACACCAGAGUUACGAACUGACCGGUCAACCACACUCCUAAGUUGGAACCAGAAACUACUGUAAACUACUAAAAAAGUAAAGGGAAAAUUAAAAAAAAAUUUGAGAAGGUAAAAAAAACUGUUUCAUGCUUGUUUCAUUUACAUUAAGAUGGUUAAAAGCAUUUUUCUUCUGCAUAGUAACGUUUCAAAGGUGUAUUCAGUCAAUGUUUGGUUGUAAACUUUUGAAAGAACCAUAAUGUUUUGUUCAGAGUGACGAACAAGCUCCAUGCCCAAGGUGUGUGUGUAACUCUGAGGUUCUGUAUUCUCAUAGCGCCAGUCAUUGAUCGGGAUGACCCACUGGGCUUGAUGCUGUAGAGACAGAGACCAAAACCACAGUCCCGGCCCCAAAGAGCUCAGCAUCCAAGUAAUAAAUUAGUGUCCCUUUCAAUAACAUUUAACAUGCUUGUUUCUCUUUUCCCUUUGCCGCACGUUUCUUACAGGUUCUCCCUCCAGGUUACCCUGUUCAGUCCCUGUCUUUCUCCCUGAAUCCUUCUCCCCCACCAGGUUCCCCUGUCCAGUCCCAACUGUUUUUCCCUUCACCCUGCCUCGCUCUCAGACCCCCAUAAGCUGUCAUCAUGCUACAUCAGCCUAGUGUGGGGUUUUAAACGGGCUUGGUGCAAUGAGUUUGGCUUAUCCAGCUUGAUCCUUGGGUGCUCAUCGGCAGGCGGGAAACUUUUACGGCUAAGUGACACUUUGUCCCCCUGCCAUCGGCCGGGAUGCGCCUUGCGUCUCUGUCAGAAAGUGUUGCUGUUGAUUACAGACGGGGUUACGCAGCCUGUGAUUGUUCUGGGAUCCAUCAUUCUUGCACCGCUAGAGGGGGAGGCAAGAAGCGCAAUGACCAGCUGCCUCCACUACCAAACUGCCUAUAGGUCACUGGAUUGAGAAGGACCCACAUUAUUCCUCCUAGAAACACCACCCUUGGCCAUCCCUCCCCCCCCCCCCAAGACCUGAGGGGAAACGACUGAUGAACAGUGAAUUCUUACACAUCGAAGGGUGCUGCACUAGAGGAGUGGUUCUCAACCAUGUACCUUGGGGAGUACACAGAGGUCUUCCAGGGGUGGCAGGCUCGGGUCGGCUCAGCUCUGAAGGAAUACUGGGGGUCCUCCAGGGACAUGGAGACUCGGAUUUCAGAGACUCGAGGAAGCCCAUUGAGGUACUGAACCCAACGGCUCAGGGACGCAAUCUGAGCCAGGAUCCCCAGAGCCAGGAAAAAGGGCAAAUUCGCUCCCCGGUGAAAGAGGCCAGCAGGAAAGUGAAGACCGGAGUCUUGUUACCAGCAUCGAAAAAUGUCACCUGCCCCCUGUUUGCACAGCGGGGGAUAACGAAAACCUGUGGGUUCAGCUAUCCCUGCCCUGGUGUACUUGCAGCCAAUGCCAGGCCUGGAGGAAGGAGAAGAAAAGGGAGCCUGGCUCAUUUGGGAGCUGAUCAGGGUGCAGGCAGGAAUUCUCUGCCUGCCUGCAAGGGAUGGAUCAGCGACCUGCCAGCCAGCAGAUAAGCCCCAAAUGUGGGGUAAGUGGACUAAAGAGACUUGUAGGAAGUAACCCCGGGACCCUGGUCUUGACCCCAUCUCUCCUGUUUAGGGGUUGAGCUACACAGGGUCCUGGGCUGGGACCCAGUGGAGAGGGAGGGCCUGGGUCCCCCUACCACCACCUUUGGCCUUACACACUGCAGACCAGCGAUCUACCUGGCCAUGGAAGACCCUAUCACAGAUGGCAAAUCCCAGAGUCUCCUUAAACAAAAAAACAAAAACAAAAAAAUCACAUCAGAAUUCAAUUCCACACAGGAAGAUUUGAAUCUGAACUGUGAUCCUGCUCCACAUGCUGAGAUGGGAGUUUUUCCUUUAACAUGGUGCCCAAGGCCCUUCCUAGCAUUAUGACGUGUCGGGGAGUGAGAAAGAACCAUGUACCUGCUCGAGGCACUUCUGACAUCCUAGAGCGGAGAGAGAGAAAAGAGAGCUCCAUGCCACAUACUGGGGAUCCCUCCUGCUCUGGAGGGGUCUUGCUUUGCCGUCACCUAAAGUCAGCAUCUUUUCAAAUGAUGACAGAUUCAAACGCUCAUGCUUCUGAAGACCCUCUUCCCCGUGCAGGGACCUGGGGUGUCUCUAACACAGUCUCACCUGCAGGAAUUCACUCGCUGGCUGCCAGCACUUCCCCUCCAUCUCACUGAUCAGCUCGCUGAAAUAGGAAUUCUCCUCGCAGAGCUGGGUGUCAAUUUCAUUCUGCCACUUUUCAGGCUCCUUGUCCAGCUCUCCCAGCUAUACUGAACACAAUCUUUCUUUGAUUCAGAAGGCCCUGCAGGAUCUUGCAGUGCCCCACGGUCAUCAUUAUCAGCAUCAGUUAUCACUGUAGAUGUAGGAGAUUGCGCUGACUGGACUGACCCUAUGACACCCUGGAAGUUGCUGACUGGACUGACCCUGUGACACCCUGGAAGUUGCUUUUUUGAAUAAAAUCCCUGAUAUCAGU
Non-coding RNA from Caretta caretta (loggerhead turtle), 3628 nucleotides. NCBI's taxonomy places the organism in Eukaryota, Metazoa, Chordata, Testudines, Cheloniidae. The record is from RefSeq and is a predicted model, not a curated record.